Molecule: long non-coding RNA, 811 nt
Organism: Formica exsecta
Lineage: Eukaryota; Metazoa; Arthropoda; Insecta; Hymenoptera; Formicidae
Exons: 2
Source: RefSeq, a predicted model, not a curated record
GUAUUCGCACAUUUCUGUUAGAAUCUGAAGAACAUGAAUGCCCAGAUUGUAAAGAGAAAGAUGUAUCACUGGAGACUCUUAUUCCAAAUCGAUUUUUACGUAAUGCAGUAAUGAAUUUUAAGAAUGAAACUGAUUAUGUCAAAAGACUUAUCGGCCUACUAUUCAAAGUGGUGGACAAUCUGUAGCAUCAACAGAUCAACCCAAAGUUUAAGCGCAGCAAACUAUGAGUCAAGUAUCUUCUCAAGCUCAAGCUAUAUAAUCAUCCAUUGCUCUUAAUGUACCAUCGCAAGAAUCUGUGGAAUCGCAACCCACUAAUCUUGAAUCUGCCUCGCAACAUUUCUCAACUGCCACUUAUGGUUAGCAGCCACAGACAUCAACCAGGACUGAUAAAAAUAAGAUUGGACGCUCGAUUCUCAGGUUUAUGUCUCCAGUCGGCGAAAAGAUAGUCAAAGAGCGGACAAGCAAAUGUUACUAAUACGAACUUGUUGUGGAGAUCUUGAUGUCAAUGACAUUUCGUUACAGUAUGAAUCAAGUUUCAAAAUUCAAUCAUAGUUCAUUAUAAGUUCAUUUGAAGUUAUAACGUUGAAUAAUAUAAUAGAAUACUAUAAUAAAUAAUAUCGGAGCAUUCAAUUUAAAUUUUAACACCGGAAUUAAUUAUUAUAAAAGAUAUAUAUAUCAGAUUUUAUUAAUUCGUUUAUACAUAAUAUAUUUUGCGCAAUCAUGACAGAAGACAACUGUGAAAUUGUUUAAAAAUUUACUAGAAUAUAUUUUUUUUUUAAACAUGAAAUGCAAUAUAAAAAAACAAUAUAGA